Danionella cerebrum is the source of this 72-nucleotide non-coding RNA. Lineage: Eukaryota; Metazoa; Chordata; Actinopteri; Cypriniformes; Danionidae. The record is from the annotation of a GenBank genome assembly.
GCUUUCCUGCGGCUAAGUUGGUAGAGCAUUGCAACAACCCAAAGGUCUUGGGUUCAAAUCCCAGGUAAAGCA